GAUGAACGCUGGCGGCGUGCCUAAUACAUGCAAGUCGAGCGAACAGACGAUGAUCUUGCUCCUCUGACGUUAGCCGCGGACGGGUGAGUAACACGUGUAUAACCUACCUAUCAGACUGGGAUAACUUCGGGAAACCGGCGCUAAUACCGGAUAAUAUAUUGAACCGCAUGGUUCAAUAGUAAAAUACGGUGUUUCUGUCACUUAUAGAUGGAUCCGCGCCGCAUUAGCUAGUUGUUAAGGUAACGGCUUACCAAGGCGACUAUGCGUAGACGACCUGAGAGACUGAUCGGCGACCUGGGAACGGGGACAGGCACAAGGCUACUGCGGGAGGCCGCAGUAGGCUACGGUACGCAACGGGCGAAAGCCUGACGGAGCAACGCCGCGUGAGUGAUGAAGGUCUUCGGAUCGGAAAACUCUGUUAUUAGGUAAGAACAAAUGUGUAAGUAACUAUGCACGGCGUGACGGUACCUAAUCAGAAAGCCACGGCUAACUACGUG
Molecule: ribosomal RNA, 497 nt
Filed under: uncultured bacterium
Lineage: Bacteria
Description: partial 16S ribosomal RNA
Rfam family: Bacterial small subunit ribosomal RNA
Source: RNAcentral